Molecule: long non-coding RNA, 281 nt
Organism: Oxyura jamaicensis (ruddy duck)
Lineage: Eukaryota; Metazoa; Chordata; Aves; Anseriformes; Anatidae
Exons: 3
Source: RefSeq, a predicted model, not a curated record
GUAAUUUCAUUGUGUAGUGUAUGGGGUUUCACAUUUUCCCUUUGGCCACAGCAUCAUUUCCCAAUUCAUGAAGAGCAACCAGGAGAUGACAACAAUUUCUGACUGCCACUAUUGCUAGGACUGGCACGGUUUCUGGAGACAUCACAUCAAUGGCAGGCCUCGGCAAAGCAAUCAAGAUUAUUUGAAUAAUGCUGAAACUUGUGCGCUAAUACAGAUGGGCAGAUCACUGAAGGCAACGAAGGACAGCCUUAUUCCUGUCACACGGGAGCAAAUUUCCUCAC